AACGAGACCUUAACCUGCUAAAUUGCCCGUAUUGCUUUGGCAGUACGCUGGCUUCUUAGAGGGACUAUCGGCUCAAGCCGAUGGAAGUUUGAGGCAAUAACAGGUCUGUGAUGCCCUUAGAUGUUCUGGGCCGCACGCGCGCUACACUGACGGAGCCAGCGAGUACUUCCUUGUCCGAAAGGUCCGGGUAAUCUUGUGAAACUCU
RNAcentral lists this ribosomal RNA (205 nucleotides) under Nectria cinnabarina. Its description in RNAcentral is "partial small subunit ribosomal RNA". It matches the Rfam family "Eukaryotic small subunit ribosomal RNA", at positions 1334 to 1563 of the family's 1831-position model. Lineage: Eukaryota; Fungi; Ascomycota; Sordariomycetes; Hypocreales; Nectriaceae. The record is from RNAcentral.